UGGGGAAUAUUGGGCAAUGGGGGGAACCCUGACCCAGCAACGCCGCGUGAAGGAAGAAGGUUUUCGGAUUGUAAACUUCUGUCCUUGGUGAAGAGGAAGAGACGGUAGCCAAGGAGGAAGCCCCGGCUAACUACGUGCCAGCAGCCGCGGUAAUACGUAGGUGGCGAGCGUUGUCCGGAAUUACUGGGUGUAAAGGGCGUGUAGGCGGGGAGACAAGUCAGAUGUGAAAUACCGAAGCUUAACUUCGGGGCUGCAUCUGAAACUGUUUUUCUUGAGUGUCGGAGAGGAAAGCGGAAUUCCCAGUGUAGCGGUGAAAUGCGUAGAUAUUGGGAGGAACACCAGUGGCGAAGGCGGCUUUCUGGACGACAACUGACGCUGAGGCGCGAAAGCGUGGGGAGCAAACAGG
Molecule: ribosomal RNA, 406 nt
Filed under: uncultured prokaryote
Description: bacterial SSU rRNA
Rfam family: Bacterial small subunit ribosomal RNA
Source: RNAcentral